Molecule: ribosomal RNA, 206 nt
Filed under: uncultured bacterium
Lineage: Bacteria
Description: partial 16S ribosomal RNA
Rfam family: Bacterial small subunit ribosomal RNA
Source: RNAcentral
UUCGUAGGUGGCCAACUAGGUCAGACGUGAAAUCCCUCAGCUUAACUGGGGAACUGCGUCUGAUACUGGUUGGCUUGAGUGCAGGAGAGGAACGCGGAAUUCCAGGUGUAGCGGUGAAAUGCGUAGAUAUCUGGAGGAACACCGGUGGCGAAGGCGGCGUUCUGGACUGCAACUGACACUGAGGAACGAAAGCCAGGGAGCAAACG